GCCGAGGUAGCCUAGCCCGGCCAAGGCGCCUGCCUCGAGAGCAGGUGUCCGAGAGGACUCGAGCGUUCAAAUCGCUCCCUCGGCG
RNAcentral lists this transfer RNA (85 nucleotides) under Halobacteriales archaeon SW_7_65_23. RNAcentral's name for it is "tRNA-Ser". It matches the Rfam family "tRNA". From Rfam's summary of the family: Transfer RNA (tRNA) molecules are approximately 80 nucleotides in length. Their secondary structure includes four short double-helical elements and three loops (D, anti-codon, and T loops). The record is from RNAcentral. Lineage: Archaea; Methanobacteriati; Methanobacteriota; Halobacteria; Halobacteriales.